This 23-nucleotide microRNA is filed under the name Heliconius melpomene (postman butterfly). RNAcentral describes it as "hme-miR-6306-5p". The record is from miRBase by way of RNAcentral. Lineage: Eukaryota; Metazoa; Arthropoda; Insecta; Lepidoptera; Nymphalidae.
AUAGGUUCCGCUUCAUCUAGCUU